Molecule: long non-coding RNA, 734 nt
Organism: Triticum aestivum (bread wheat)
Lineage: Eukaryota; Viridiplantae; Streptophyta; Magnoliopsida; Poales; Poaceae
Exons: 3
Source: RefSeq, a predicted model, not a curated record
UACCGAUCGAAUCGUAACGCUCGUCCUCUGUUUUUUCUCAGUGUUGAUUGGAUCCCUCCUCUCCUUCCUCAUUCCACAUCGCAGGUGCGUCCGUUCUCGACGGCCGUUUCCGCCGGCUAUGCAUGCCACCGGCUGCCGUCGACGUGCACCUCCGACCGCCUCCCGUAUCGGAUCUACAGCUGUGCCGCCGGAUCUCCGCCUCCCCCGCUGCCCCACGAGCUCCUGCUCCACGAGGCGCCAACGUUCUGGAGGAGUACGCCGUGAGGGCCGAGGCGGGCGCCGAGGACGCUGGCGGUGGCGCCCAGCCGGCCUCGUCGUCUGGCGCCAUGUUUGAUGGGAUCCUUGGGGCUCGCCUCGAGCUGGAAUUGGAGCGUGUGGUAGUUUUAGCUGGAUAAUACUCUGAGUGGUGUGCAAGCUCAAUGGGAACAUCCAACAAGAAGCCAUCACUUAAUCUGUUCGUUCAGGUAGGAGAUGAGAAGAUGUUCAGGCCCGUGAAGUUGCAGAGACUUGGGUGAAAGUUUAGGACGAUGGAGGAGACGCGUCGAGUCCUGUAUGUGUGCAGGCAUACCGAGCUGAGAUUGACCAUGCUGUCGGAUUGGGCCAGAAAAUAGGCAAGAUUGUUAUCAUAUUACUUUCAUUUUUACAAAUGCACCUACAAAACACAACGAGUUAAUUUUUUUUAAGCAUCGUAUGCUUACUUAUGAAGACUUUUUGACUUGAAAAACAAGUUAUUG